Molecule: ribosomal RNA, 484 nt
Filed under: uncultured bacterium
Lineage: Bacteria
Description: partial 16S ribosomal RNA
Rfam family: Bacterial small subunit ribosomal RNA
Source: RNAcentral
AUUGAACGCUGGCGGCAUGCUUUACACAUGCAAGUCGAACGGCAGCGCGGGCUUCGGCCUGGCGGCGAGUGGCGAACGGGUGAGUAAUACAUCGGAACGUGCCCAGUAGUGGGGGAUAGCGCGGCGAAAGCCGGAUUAAUACCGCAUAAGACCUGAGGGUGAAAGCGGGGGAGCUUCGGACCUCGCGCUCUUGGAGGGGCCGAUGGCAGAUUGGCGAGUUGGUGGGGUAAAGGCCUACCAAGGCGACGAUCUGUAGCUGGUCUGAGAGGACGACCAGCCACACUGGGACUGAGACACGGCCCAGACUCCUACGGGAGGCAGCAGUGGGGAAUUUUGGACAAUGGGCGAAAGCCUGAUCCAGCAAUGCCGCGUGUGUGAUGAAGGCCUUCGGGUUGUAAAGCACUUUUGGCGGGAACGAAAAGGACUGUGCCAAUACCACGGUUCGAUGACGGUACCCGCAGAAUAAGCACCGGCUAACUACGUG